This 69-nucleotide transfer RNA is filed under the name Oreocharis arfaki (tit berrypecker). RNAcentral's name for it is "tRNA-Lys". The record is from RNAcentral. Lineage: Eukaryota; Metazoa; Chordata; Aves; Passeriformes; Paramythiidae.
CAUUAAGAAGCUAUGAAUCAGCACUAGCCUUUUAAGCUAGAGAAAGAGAAAUACAAUUCUCCUUAAUGA